RNAcentral lists this ribosomal RNA (469 nucleotides) under uncultured Pseudomonadota bacterium. Its description in RNAcentral is "bacterial SSU rRNA". It matches the Rfam family "Bacterial small subunit ribosomal RNA", at positions 8 to 522 of the family's 1533-position model. The record is from RNAcentral. Lineage: Bacteria; Pseudomonadati; Pseudomonadota.
AGAGUUUGAUCAUGGCUCAGAACGAACGCUGGCGGCAGGCCUAACACAUGCAAGUCGAACGCUCCAGCAAUGGAGAGUGGCAGACGGGUGAGUAACACGUGGGAACCUUCCCUUUGGUUCGGAAUAGCUCAGGGAAACUUGAGGUAAUACCGGAUAAGCCCUUACGGGGAAAGAUUUAUCGCCGAAGGAUGGGCCCGCGUCGGAUUAGCUAGUUGGUGGGGUAACGGCCUACCAAGGCGACGAUCCGUAGCUGGUCUGAGAGGAUGAUCAGCCACACUGGGACUGAGACACGGCCCAGACUCCUACGGGAGGCAGCAGUGGGGAAUAUUGGACAAUGGGCGCAAGCCUGAUCCAGCCAUGCCGCGUGAGUGACGAAGGCCUUAGGGUUGUAAAGCUCUUUUGGCGGGGAAGAUAAUGACCGGUACCCGCAGAAUAAGCUCCGGCUAACUUCGUGCCAGCAGCCGCGGUA